CAGUAGGGAAUCUUCCACAAUGGGCGCAAGCCUGAUGGAGCAACACCGCGUGAGUGAAGAAGGGUUUCGGCUCGUAAAGCUCUGUUGUUAAAGAAGAACACGUAUGAGAGUAACUGUUCAUACGUUGACGGUAUUUAACCAGAAAGUCACGGCUAACUACGUGCCAGCAGCCGCGGUAAUACGUAGGUGGCAAGCGUUAUCCGGAUUUAUUGGGCGUAAAGAGAGUGCAGGCGGUUUUCUAAGUCUGAUGUGAAAGCCUUCGGCUUAACCGGAGAAGUGCAUCGGAAACUGGAUAACUUGAGUGCAGAAGAGGGUAGUGGAACUCCAUGUGUAGCGGUGGAAUGCGUAGAUAUAUGGAAGAACACCAGUGGCGAAGGCGGCUACCUGGUCUGCAACUGACGCUGAGACUCGAAAGCAUGGGUAGCGAACAGGAUUAGAUACCCUGGUAGUCCAUGCCGUAAACGAUGAGUGCUAGGUGUUGGAGGGUUUCCGCCCUUCAGUGCCGGAGCUAACGCAUUAAGCACUCCGC
RNAcentral lists this ribosomal RNA (529 nucleotides) under Limosilactobacillus fermentum. Its description in RNAcentral is "bacterial SSU rRNA". It matches the Rfam family "Bacterial small subunit ribosomal RNA", at positions 352 to 872 of the family's 1533-position model. Lineage: Bacteria; Bacillati; Bacillota; Bacilli; Lactobacillales; Lactobacillaceae. The record is from RNAcentral.